RNAcentral lists this ribosomal RNA (482 nucleotides) under Rhinella humboldti (Rivero's toad). RNAcentral describes it as "partial 16S ribosomal RNA". It matches the Rfam family "Bacterial large subunit ribosomal RNA", at positions 1928 to 2564 of the family's 2925-position model. Lineage: Eukaryota; Metazoa; Chordata; Amphibia; Anura; Bufonidae. The record is from RNAcentral.
CGGCCGCGGUAUCCUAACCGUGCGAAGGUAGCGUAAUCACUUGUUCUUUAAAUGUGGACUAGUAUGAACGGCAUCACGAAGGUUAUACUGUCUCCUUUUUCUAAUCAGUGAAACUAAUCUCCCCGUGAAGAAGCGGGGAUAAAAUUAUAAGACGAGAAGACCCUAUGGAGCUUUAAACAAUACAGCACUUACCUAAAAAUCUUUAAUGUUUCUGUAACACUAACUCUUUAAAGUAAAAUGACUGCAAGUUUUUGGUUGGGGUGACCACGGAGUAUAUCAUAACCUCCAUGUUGAAAGAAUUUUUCUAAGCCAAGAAUAACCAAUCUAAGCAUUAACAAAUUAACAUCUAUUGACCCAAUAAAUUUGAUCAACGAACCAAGUUACCCUAGGGAUAACAGCGCAAUCCACUUCAAGAGCUCCUAUCGACAAGUGGGUUUACGACCUCGAUGUUGGAUCAGGGUGUCCCAGUGGUGCAGCCGCUA